GGGUGCGAGUAUGGAUCCCAUUUCCGCAUUCCUGUGGUAGCCUGCCACCCAAUUUUAUUUGCACACAAAACACUUCCACCAACGACGUUCCACGCAAACACACGCUUAGGGCCUCGGGAGUGAGCACACUCAGCGGCAUUUGGCAAGGGGAUCUUUCAGCCUCAUCCCGAGUGACGGUGCCCACUUCCAAUUUUAAACUGCACUUAGACACAGAGGGCUGUGGGGGGAAGUGGCUCUGUGUGGUGGCAUCAGCUGGCAUAGGCCAGGCGAUUAUAUAAAGUUAUAGCCAUCUAAUGACUUGUAUGCCUUUCUAACCAGGAUAAAUGUGUUUAUUUAGAUAUAAUUACACAGAAUGUGUUCUGUAAUCAGAGCAGGCAGUCAUUGUCAUUCGUUUUGUAUUUAUAGAGCUCGUCAGAUAAGUCAAAAGUAGGGCUGGGAUGAUAAUCAAUAAAAUCAAUUAAUCAUGCAAUAGACGAAAAUUAACUCAAUAAUUUUUCCAGCCUUAGUAUAUCGAGGUUAAGAAAUGUACAAGUCUAUUAUUAUUAUUAUUAUUAUUAUUAUUAUUAUUAUUAUUAUCAUUCUUAAAGAAGUUGUCACUCCCCCCUCAGUCUUACUCCACCCACGUAUCACUUUUAAAAACUGCAACAUUAGUAGGCGUUGCCUGGAGGACCGAGAGGGCGGAGCCGCGGCAGUGACGAAGAUGACGGCUAACUAGACGAUGCUAGCCCCCUUCACUCUGAGCAGUCAUUAGAAGUGGAGGAGGUUUCUCCCCCUCCUUACCCAGACACUCGAGAAGAAAGGGACCAAGUCUAUUUGGAGGAGACAAGCGGACCUGAGCCUUAUUGUUUUGAGCUUGUGAGCUGCCUGAAACUACAGGAACCGACCCAACAGAACCAGCUCUGAAUGUCCUCUGGUGUCUGCAGGUGGUCUCCUCUGCUGGUGUCGUCAGGAUCAGGAGCUCCCAGAAGAAUGUGCCUUUCAAUGACUCUUUCCCCCUUAUUUGUUAUAUUAAUUAAAUAAAUCUCAAUUGAUAUAUUUCC
This is a long non-coding RNA of Nothobranchius furzeri (turquoise killifish), 1040 nucleotides long. RefSeq lists it as uncharacterized. The record is from RefSeq and is a predicted model, not a curated record. Lineage: Eukaryota; Metazoa; Chordata; Actinopteri; Cyprinodontiformes; Nothobranchiidae.